AAACACUUGUUUUCCUCCUGGGGCCGCAUCUGGGACACACACAGGAACGUGAUUGGACACAGCUUUGGGCUCUGUUGUUUCGAGUGCGCUAUUUUGUCCAUCCAAACAGAAGGUUAUGAAUGGAGAGCUACAUCCCAUGGGGUGGCAGAUGAAGAUGUGCAAGAAGAAGACACUAACAACUGAAUUGCAGAUUGAGGAGAUGAGAUUAUGGUGACAGAAUCCAUCUUCGGUGUAUGUGCAUGAAGAAAUAAGCCAAAUCUACAUCUAUAAAACCGCGGGAAGGAAUGAGAUAAUAAUCAGUUGCAGGUCUGCUUAGAUUUUAAUCGUUUAGUGUAGUUCGUGGCAGGGUCUGAUACCCUAUUUCAAUAGUGGAGA
Molecule: long non-coding RNA, 375 nt
Filed under: Homo sapiens (human)
Lineage: Eukaryota; Metazoa; Chordata; Mammalia; Primates; Hominidae
Description: HSALNT0130114
Source: RNAcentral